GGCUCAAACAUGGCUGCGCUGAGAGCUCUAUUGCUUUGGGCGCCGGGAGCAGGAGGUACUCCGCGAAUGAGAACAUUGAGAAUGUGUUCGGCAUAACUCAUUUCUUUGUAUCUCCCUGCACUCUGUGCUGGGAAAAUGAAUCAUCCAUUUGGAAAAGAGGAAGCUGCUUCGCAGAAGCAGCUUUUUGGAUUUUUCUGCGAAUGCCUGCGAAGGGGAGAAUGGGAGCUGGCACAGGCAUGUGUACCUCAGCUACAGGAGGGACAAGGGGAUAUCCCAAAGAGGGUAGAAGACAUACUUCAGGCAUUGGUGGUGUGUCCAAAUCUGCUGAGAUGUGGGCAGGACAUCAACCCUCAAAGAUUAGCCUGGGUCUGGCUUCUUGUACUGGAGAAAUGGUUGGCCCGGGAAAAGAAGUUACUCCCAGUUGUUUUCCGGAGAAAGCUUGAGUUUCUUUUAUUGUCAGAAGACCUCCAAGGUGACAUUCCAGAGAACAUCCUCGAGGAGCUGUAUGAGACCUUAACACAGGGUGCAGUAGGCCACGUGCCUGACGGAAAUCCACCCUUUCUUCAUCCUCUAUUUAGGAGCUGUAUGAGACCUUAACACAGGGUGCAGUAGGCCACGUGCCUGACGGAAAUCCAAGGAGGGAGAGCUGGACUCCUUGUCUCAGCUCCGAAGCUGUCUCUGUGCUCUGGGAUCUCCUGAGGCAGUCUCCCCAGCCAGCACAGGCCCUGCUGGAGCUCCUGCUUGGGGAGGAUGACGGCACUGGCCUCUGUCACUGGCCUCUGCAAAAUGCACUGGUGGACCUCAUUCGAAAGGCAUUGCGGGCUUUGCAGGGCCCUGAUUCGGUGCCCCCUGGGGUAGUCGAUGCCAUCUAUGGAGCCCUGCGGACUCUGCGUUGCCCUGCAGAACCACCUGGAGUUGAGUUGCGUCUCCUGUGUGAGGAACUAUUAGAGGCCUGCAGGACCGAGGGGAAUCCCCUGCGGGAGGAGCAGCUGCUCAGCUGCCUGCUGCACAAGGCCAGCCGGGGCCUGCUGUCCCUGUAUGGCCAUACCUAUGCAGAGAAGGUCACAGAAAAGCCACUGAGGGCUACAGCCUCGGGAAAAGUCUCACCAGAUCAUCUCGAUCCUGAGCGGGCAAUGCUAGCCCUGUUCUCCAAUCCCGACCCAGCCGAGGCUUGGAAAGUGGCCUACUUCUACUGCCUGAGCAACAACAAACACUUCCUCGAGCAGAUUCUGGUAACAGCACUAACAUUGUUGAAAGAAGAAGACUUCCCAAAUCUUGGCUGCCUACUUGAUAGAGAAUUCAGGCCUCUUAGUUGCCUGCUUGUGCUCCUGGGCUGGACACACUGCCAGAGCCUAGAGUCAGCCAAGAGGCUGCUCCAGACCCUGCACAGGACCCAGCAACCCCAUACCAAAGAGAGAUCUGUUGUGUCAUUUACACGGUGGAGACAGCCACUCAGUACUCUACACUAUCCAUCACCUUACAAACCUUCCAGCCCUCAGGGAGGAAGAUGUUCUCAAGCUCUUACAGAAAGUGCCAGCCAAGGAACCCCAGCAAGAGCCUGAUGCAGUUGAUGCUCCAGUCCCUGAGCACCUGAGCCAGUGUCAGAACCUGACACUCUACCAGGGCUUCUGUGCCAUGAAGUAUGCCAUCUAUGCCCUCUGUGUAAACUCACACCAGCACUCCCAGUGCCAGGACUGCAAAGACAGCCUCUCUGAGGACCUGGCCUCAGCUGCAGAGCCAGCGAAUGACUCUCUCUCCUCCCCAGGUGCUGCAAAUCUCUUCUCAACUUACCUGGCCAGGUGUCAACAGUAUCUGUGCAGUAUUCCUGACUCCCUGUGCCUGGAGCUUCUGGAAAACAUCUUCUCAUUGCUUCUCAUCACCUCUGCUGAUCUUCACCCAGGGCCUCACUUGCCUGAGGACUAUGCUGAGGAUGAUGACAUUGAGGGGAAGAGCCCCUCAGGUUUGAGGUCCCCAUCAGAGAGCCCUCAGCACAUAGCACAUCCUGAAAGGAAGUCAGAACGGGGUUCCCUGGGAGUCCCAAAGACCCUUGCUUAUACAAUGCCAAGCCGUGUGAAGGCAGAGCCAAAAGACAGUUACCCAGGGCCUCAUAGGCACAGCUUUUUGGACUUAAAACACUUUACUAGUGGUAUCAGUGGAUUUCUGGCUGAUGAAUUUGCAAUAGGGGCCUUCCUCAGGCUUCUCCAAGAGCAACUGGAUGAGAUCAGUAGCCGCAGCCCCCCUGAGAAGCCAAAGCAAGAAGGUCAGAGCUGCUCAGGAAGCAGAGAUGGACUGCAGAGCCGCCUGCAUCGACUUUCCAAGGUUGUCUCUGAGGCCCAGUGGAGACACAAGGUGGUGACAAGCAACCAUCGUUCAGAAGAGCAACCUUCCCGAAGAUACCAGCCUACCACACGUCAUCCCAGUCUCUGCCGGGGUCAUCGGACAAGAAGGAGCCAGGCAGGUAAUCUGAAGAGCUCAUUCCCAUGCACUACGCAAGUGGUGUAAUGCUGCUUGUCUAAUACUCUUUAAGAAACAGCACAUGGUCAAAAACAACAAAAGCGUUGUAAAAUUAUCCUAUUCCCACUCCCUCAAGGUAACCGUUGUUAAUAGUUUCCUAUGUAUCCUUCCAGAAAUUUUCCAUGUGAUAUAAACAUGUAUAUCCUUUUAUAUAUACACAUACAUUAUACUAUAUAUUAAGAACUGCAGCUUGCUUUUUUCAUUUAUAUCCUUUUAUAUAUACAGAUGUAUUAUACUAUUAAUUGAGAACUUUUUUCACUUACCAUUUUAAAUACUGCUUAGUAUUCCAUUGUCAGAAACACCCUGUUCAUAGACAUUUAAGUUUCCAGUUGUUUACUAUUAUAAACAGUGCUGUAGUAAACAACCUUGUACAUGUCUAUGCAUACUUGUGUAAAUACAGGAUAAGCUCCUAGCAGCAGAAUUACUAGGUCACAUGUAUAUGGAUAUAAUAUAUAGAUAUUACCCAGUUGCCUUAAAAAUAAGGUAGACUAAUAUGUAUUUCUUUUUUCUAUAAGAAUUAAUACUAAGUAUUCAUUGUAUGCCAGAUGCUGCUCUACAUUCCUUAUAUUUAUAAUUGUUAACUUAUUUAAUCCUCACAAUACUAUGAAGUAGGUCUUAUUAUUUUUCCCCUUUUAUUUUUAUUUCCUUUUUUUUUCUUUUUGAGAUGGCAUCUCAUUCUGUUGCCCAGGCUGGAGUGCAGUAGUGCAAUCUCAGCUCAACGCAACCUCUGCCUCCUGGGUUCAAGCGAUUCUUGUGCCUCAGCCUCCUGAGUAGCUGGGAUUACAGGUGUGCGCUACCGUGCCCGGCUAAUGUUUGUAUUUUUAGUAGAGAUGGGGUUUUGUCAUGUUGGCCAGGCUGAUCUUGAACUCCUGACCUGAAGUGAUCUGCCCGCCUCAGCUUCCCAAAGUGCUGGAAUUACAGGCGUGAGUCACCAGGCCCAGCCUCCCUUUUUAGUUGGCAUAUAAUAAUUGUACAUAUUUAAGGGAUACACAGUGAUAUUUCAAUAUGUUUAUAAAAUGUGUAAUGACCAAAUUGGAGUAAUAUCUAUCACCUCAAACGUUUGUCAUUUCUUUUUGUUGUGAACAUUCAAAAUCCUUUCUUCGGCCGGGCACGGUGGCUCACACCUGUAAUCCCAGCAUUCUGGGAGGCCGAGGCAGAUGGAUCACUUGAGGUAAGGAGUUCAAGACCAGCCUGGCUAACAUAGUGAAACCCUGUCUGUACUAAAAAUAUGAAAGUUAGCUGGGUGUAUUGGUGGGUGCCCAGCUCGGGAGGCUGAGGCAUGAGAAUCACUUGAACCUGGGAGGCAGAGGUUGCGGUGAGCUGAGAUUGUGCCACUGUACUCUAGCCUGAGUGACAGAGUGAGAAUCCAUCUAAAAAAAAAAAAAAAAAAAAAAAAAAAAA
RNAcentral lists this small RNA (3915 nucleotides) under Pongo abelii (Sumatran orangutan). RNAcentral describes it as "retained intron". Lineage: Eukaryota; Metazoa; Chordata; Mammalia; Primates; Hominidae. The record is from RNAcentral.